GGAAACCGGAGCUAAUACCGGAUAAUAUAUUGAACCGCAUGGUUCAAUAGUUAAAGACGGUUUUGCUGUCACUUAUAGAUGGAUCCGCGCCGCAUUAGCUAGUUGGUAAGGUAACGGCUUACCAAGGCAACGAUGCGUAGCCGACCUGAGAGGGUGAUCGGCCACACUGGAACUGAGACACGGUCCAG
This 188-nucleotide ribosomal RNA is filed under the name uncultured Staphylococcus sp. Its description in RNAcentral is "partial 16S ribosomal RNA". It matches the Rfam family "Bacterial small subunit ribosomal RNA", at positions 152 to 334 of the family's 1533-position model. Lineage: Bacteria; Bacillati; Bacillota; Bacilli; Caryophanales; Staphylococcaceae. The record is from RNAcentral.